UUACGUUGACGAUGUGGCCCAUGGAGCCUC
RNAcentral lists this small RNA (30 nucleotides) under Bombyx mori (domestic silkworm). RNAcentral describes it as "ovarian small RNA-36601". The record is from RNAcentral. Lineage: Eukaryota; Metazoa; Arthropoda; Insecta; Lepidoptera; Bombycidae.